RNAcentral lists this ribosomal RNA (260 nucleotides) under uncultured Bacillota bacterium. RNAcentral describes it as "uncultured Firmicutes bacterium partial 16S ribosomal RNA". It matches the Rfam family "Bacterial small subunit ribosomal RNA", at positions 338 to 590 of the family's 1533-position model. The record is from RNAcentral. Lineage: Bacteria; Bacillati; Bacillota.
CCUACGGGUGGCAGCAGUAGGGAAUCUUCCACAAUGGACGAAAGUCUGAUGGAGCAACGCCGCGUGUGUGAUGAAGGGUUUCGGCUCGUAAAACACUGUUAUAAGAGAAGAACGUCAGUGAGAGUAACUGUUCAUUGAGUGACGGUAUCUUAUCAGAAAGGGACGGCUAAAUACGUGCCAGCAGCCGCGGUAAUACGUAUGUCCCAAGCGUUAUCCGGAUUUAUUGGGCGUAAAGCGAGCGCAGGCGGUUAUUUAAGUCU